Molecule: long non-coding RNA, 38246 nt
Filed under: Solanum tuberosum (potato)
Lineage: Eukaryota; Viridiplantae; Streptophyta; Magnoliopsida; Solanales; Solanaceae
Description: long non-coding RNA (STUB_LNC010256)
Source: RNAcentral
GCCUGAAGCCUCGUCCUUCCUGAUGGAACUAAAGGAUCGUACGUUCUUGGCGGUGAGGAGUUCCAUGACACAUACUUUACGCAUUUGUCUCCAGUAUUCACCAUAAGGAGUAAAUGCGAUGUCCGUGCUCUUGUAACAUAUUGUGUCGACGGAUGCUAAUUUAGGCCUCGAUGCAAAAGCAAGGUCAUGAGUUUUCAGUACCUCCCGGGCCAUAUCCGUAGAUGAAACUAUGACCGUAGAAAUUUCCCCUAGUUGUAGGUGCAUGAGAGGCCCAUAUUUUUUGCUCAAGUUUGUGAGUGCAUGAUGAGGAAGUCCACCUUCUAGUACCAAGUGAUGGAUACUUCCUAAGAAAGGCAAUUUCCAUGGUCCUGGAGGAAGUUUUUUGUUCAAGUUUCUUGAUUUUUUCCUUUGCACAAGUAGUAGAUAGAGGAAUGAUAGGAAAAGAAAUAAGAAAAUGAAAUUGAAUGGAAAUUGGAACUCCAUUAGAUAGCUAAAGCUAAGAGAGGAGUGUCUCUCAAGUUGUAUAUGGCUAUAUUUUGGCCUAUCCUAAUGCCAGAGGGAUAUGAUCCAAGUGUUAGGCUAUCUUUUGGCCUAUCCUUGAAGAUAUUUUCCUUAAAAAUAAGUAGUUUUCUUAUAUAGUUUUUUUUUUUAAUAUUUGAAAAGCAGAAAAAAUGUAAAAUCUAAACAAACACUAUGAAAUAAGAUUGGGGCUGGCGGUGGGCAGGAUUAAAAUGUCGAAACUUGUUUUUUAUGCUUUUAUUAGAAAAACUUUUUUUUCAAUUUUAGAGCGAUAGGAUUUUAAUUACUUAAUACUUAGCUUCUAAUAAGAUUCUGACAUAUAUUACACAGUUCAGGGGCGGAUUUACAUUGAACGAAGGGGUUCAUCCGAACCCCCUUCGUCGAAAAAUUACUAGGAUUAAAUUUUGAAUAUAUGUGUAUAUAUACUAUUGAACCCCCUGAACAUACACCAAAGGCGUAGCUCAGUGGCGUUGGGGGUUCAGGAGUUUUGCUCUACUGCACGCGAGGUCGCGUGUUCGAAUCCGGACAGAGGCAUUUUGUUUUAUCAACUUAUUUCAGACGUUUUAUUUUUUUAAAAUAAAUAAUAAUGCAAUCAGAAAACGAUGUUUAGUUCCAAAAAAUUAAAACGCUGAUUGAGAAUUUAGGAUUUAUUAGUUUAAUCCCUAAUCAUAAAGUCAAAUAUUAAAAAAAUCGUUUCUUCUUGAUUCGACCGUUUAAUCCGACCCGUUUAUAUCCGAUUCGACCCGUUUAUUUAUGGAUAUUAUUUACGUGAUUAAUUUUUUUGAACCCCCUUGAUGAAAAUCCUCCCUCCGCCACUGUUACACACAUAUCAUAUUUUCCAGCCACACGUAGAGCCUCCAAGACGAUCCGUAUUGAUUAAUAGAUCUUCGCGUCCUGCCACAUAUUGCAUGACAAAAUAUCUUUGGUUUUAUUUUGAACAAACUACGAGCUAUACAUUACUCAUGUUAUUUCGUCAGCAGCAUCGUAAGUUUGUGUACUGACCUCAGUAAUAUAAUUCUAAUAACAUUUUAUUACACUUUUUAUGAUAUGUGAUUCAUAUUUGAAGGUGCUACUAUUUUUACGAUAAAAUGUUGAUUUUCAAGCAAUUUUUUUCGUCUUUUAUCAGUAAAACAAAAACAACAUGCAAAUAUUGCAACCGUAUUUCCUUUGUUCUUUAGAUAAACAAUAUGUCCAGCUUUACAUAUUAAUUACCCAUUUCCAAAUUAAAAUUAUAUAUCAAUUAAUAUGAAUAUUAUGAUAAAAUACUCUUAUUAAUUACUCUAUUAAUUUAAAAUGCAUACAAAAUUUAAAGACGACAAAUAAAAUGAGUACAAAUAUAAAUGACGGAAGAAAAUAUCUUUGAUUUCAUUUAGAAUUUACUAAGAAAACAUAAUUAGUUUUAUUUAAAAUCUGUUAAAAUAUUAUCUAUUAACAAUAUAUAAGUGAAAACAAGUUAGCUAUUAAUAUAUAUAUUAAUAUAUAAGUAAGAACAAGCCAACAACUAAUGAUCAAACAGACAUAUUGUCCAUCAACGGUGUGUUUAUCCAUACUUAUAUAUUAGUAGUGGAAGUGGAUAGUGGAUAUUUGACUUUUAAUGCAUCAAUAAUGCCAUCUUUUCUGAGAAAAUGAUAUAAAUAAUCUCUUAACUAUAUGAGUAGGUCUAAAAUGGUCCUUUAACUAUAUACUUAACGGAUUUAGUCCUUUAAUUAUAUCGGUUUUAGUUCCUUAACUAUAAACUUAUCGAUUUUAGUCCUUUAAAUAUUUAAAAACUUAUCAGGUUUGGUCUUUGUCCAUUUUUAAAAUACAAAUAGCUUAGGUUUAUAUUAACGGAAAUCUUCGUGAAAUUGUAUCUUUAACCCAUUUUUAAAGUUGUUUCUCUAUCCCCACCAUUUUUCUUCAAACUACUCUUAUGAAAAGAACAAUAACGUCAACGAUUCAAAAUAAAAUUAAUGAGGAAAGAAGAUAUAAGUCCUUAUUUUAUUCAAUGGAGGAUAAAAUUAAACAUAUAAUUGUUGUUAAUGACUUGAAUCCACACUUGAAUAUGCUAAUCAAUGCGGAUUUUAUUUAAUUUCAUCAAAAUAAAAUUAAUGAGGAAAGAAGAUAUAAGUCCUUAUUUUAUUCAAUGGAGGAUAAAAUUAAACAUAUAAUUGUUGUUAAUGACUUGAAUCCACACUUGAAUAUGCUAAUCAAUGCGGAUUUUAUUUAAUUUCACAAAUUUAUUUACGUAAAAUAAAAUGAAUAGAAUAAUAAAAUUGAUCUAUUUAAAAAAAUUGCAAAUCUACCAUGCAUUUUAUAAAUUUCAAUUUCUGAAAAAUUAAACAAAUUUCGUUCAAUAAAAUCGUUGGAGUACAAACUUUGAAUUUUAUGAUUAAUAUUUUUUUUCUUUUUAUAAUAAAGUUAAGCAUAUUCAAGUCAUUAGUAGCAAUAAUAUGCUUCAUUUUAUCCUCUGUUGAAUAAAAUUAUGACUUAUAUUUUCUUUCCUCGUGAAUUUUAUUUUAAAUCAUUGAGGUUAAGGUUCUUCGCAUAAGGUUAAUUUGAAGUAAAAGUAGCGGAGAGAGACAAAUAAUAGAAAAAAUUGCUAAAGGAUUUAAUUUCUCGAGGCAUGAAUUCCGUUAAUAUAAACCUAAGCUAUUUGUAUUAAGAAAAUGGACAAAGACCAAACCUGAUAAGUUUUUGAAUACUUAAAUGACUAAAAUCGGUAUGUUUAUAGUUAAGGGAUUAAAAUCAGUAAGUGUAUAGUUAAGAGACCAAAACUGAUAAGUUUAUAAAUAGUUAAAGAACUAAAUCCGUUAACUGUAUAGUUAAGGGAUCAUUUUAGACCCAUUCUUAUAGUUAAGAAACUAUUUAUGUCAUUUUCUCCAUCUUUUCUUAUAGAGAAAAUACAUCAAAUCACAUUUAAACUUAACAACAAAAGUUACUUUGACACUUUAAUUAUACUGAUGUUUAUUUAUCCCUUAACAAAUUUUAAAUGAAUUAAAUACGGCCUUAGGGGGUGACGUGAUAGAGAGAGUGAACCUACUCUCCUAAAAGCGUGUGAAGAAAGAAAAAAGAAAAGCUGAAAUUACAAGAUUAUGUGUCAUUUUUUUUAUCGGCCAACAUAUAAAUAAUAUUUUUAAUCUUUUUUUCUUAAUAUAUUAACUUUUUUAAAAUAUGUGAAUUUUCUUAUAGAGAUAAUGGAAUUUAUGAAUCCCAUUUAAAAUAAAGUUUUAACUUUAUUCUCUUUAAUUGUUAUUGACAUCGAUUUUAUGAAAUUCAGUACUAACAUCAUUGUUACAGCCAUUAAUUCCACAACAUCCACUACCAAUAGCAAUAAUAAUGGAGAAGAAUGGAGCGAUGAGGAAUACACAUUCCUAAAUAAUCGAUUUUACAAUAUCUACAUCGAUUCACAAUCAAUACCCAUUAAGAACACACAUUCAUAGAUCCAUAUUUUUAAUUAAUGUUCUUGCAGCUUCAAUCUCACCAAUAAAAUUAGUGAAUGAAGAUCGUAUAAGAAAGUUGAAAGAUCCAUAUUUUUUGCAUCACUAAUAAUAGAAGCUCAAAAUAUGGGUUACUUAAAAUUCAAGAAAAAUUACAUUUAUAAAAUAUAAGCAUCAAGAUUUUACUUAUGAUUUUUGGUAGAAAUCUUGUUGAUAAAAUGUAUGAAGCUUGAGACUAUAGCUAAAGAAACUGUUGUUGAAAGAAAUUAGAUUCAAUUUUCGGUUGGCAUUGUUGAAAUGAUUUAUCUUCAAUUUUUGAUUGCCAUUACUGAGGAUUUACCUCCAAUUUGGUACUGAUGAUAAAGCUCUUUGUUAAAUAAAUGAGCCAACAUAAGUUUUGAAAUUAAUUAGUUUAGUGUAUAUAAGUUAAAAAAAGAUAUAUUUAAAGAAAACGAAAAAAUGGUGAAUAAACAGUAAGAAAUAAAAAAUUAAUGAUGUGAUGCUUAGAUGGCUAUGACGUCAUGCUUAUAUUGCUAUGACAUGGCGGGUGAGAGUAGUAUUUUAAUCUGAGGGUGGUAUUUAAUUCAUUUGAAAGUUAAGAGGGUAAAUAAAUGUCCGUAUAAUCAAAGUGCUAAAGUAAACAAUUCAUUCUAUGCAACGAGUAUCUUUGGGAUGACUUAGCCUAAUAUAACACAUUCAGACCAAUGAACAGUCCUUGUUAUUUUGUGAAUGCUUGAGCUUGUACCAUGCAAACUUAGCCAUGCAUUUCCUGAAACUAGAGUACUAGACAUAAACUGAUCAAUGAAUUUCUCUUGAUCUUUCAACAAUUCCCCAAAUGCUGCUUUGCAUGUAUUUGAGCUCUGGUACCAUGAAACCCGUUUUGUAACAUUUAUCGGCUCGCUACGUGUUGAUGACCGGAUGAACUGCACGAGGCGUGAAGCCUCGUCCCGCCUGAUGGAACUAAAGUACCGUACGUUCUUGGAAGUGAAAAGUUCUAAUACGCAUACUUUGCGCAUCUGUCUCCAGUAUUCACCAUAAGGAGUAAAUGCGAUGUCCAUGCUCUUGUAACAUAUUAUGUCGAUGGAUGCUAAUUUAGGCCUUGAUGCAAAAGCAAGGUCGUGAGUUUUCAGUACCUCUCGCGCCAUGUCCAUAGAAGAAACUACGACCGUAGAAAUUUCGCCUAGUUGAAGGUGCAUGACAGGCCCAUAUUUUUUUCCCAAUUUUGUGAGUACAUGAUGAGGAAGUCCACCUUCUAAUGCCAAGUGAUGGAUACUUCCUAAAAAGGGCAAUUUCCAUGGGCCUGGAGGAAGAUUUUUGUUUAAGUUUCUUGAUUUUUUCCAUUCGACCAGUAGUAGAUAGAGGAAUGAAAGGAAAAGGAAUAAGAAAAUGAAAUUGAAUGGAUAUUGGAACUCCAUUAGAUAGCUAAAGCUAAGAGAAGGGUGUCUCUCAAUUCUCAAGUUCAAAGCUUUGUUGUAUAGGGCUAUUUUUGGCCUGCUAUAUAAUCCUAAUAUCUUGAGAGAAAUGAUCCAAGAGUAAGGGUGUGUUUGGUAUGAAUUUUCCUAAAAAAUAAAUAGUUUUCUUACUUAUUUUCUCGUAUGUGAUAGGUAAACAGAAAAUAUUGUAAAAGCUAGGCAAACACUAUUAUUAUUAUCACAAUUCAACUUGUAAACGAGUCUGAAGUCAAGGUACGGGUCAUGCUUAUGUAUUAUGCCUAUAUUAUACGCAUAACAAUAUUUUUCGGCCGUAUGUAGAGCCUCUAAGACAAAGAGGAGACUAUCAAUUAUCCUUUCAAAAUUCAUAUUGAUUAAUAGAUCUUCGCAUCUUGCCACAUAUUGCAUGACGAAAACUAUUUCCUGAUGCAGUGAUAGCUGCUACAAAAGUACAAAAUUUGGUUUUAUUUGAAACAAACAGAGGAAAAUUCCAAACUCUGAGCUAUACAUGUUAAUUUGUCAGCAGUGCCAUCCGAUAUAUUCAAACUUGUGUCUAAUGUCAUAAAUUAUAGGUAAAUUUUGAUGAAAAUAUAUAUAAGAUAUUUAAAUUGUUCAUAAAAACUAAUAUAUUAUGUAUAUAAUGUGUCGGUUGAUUCGAUUAUUUUGAAUCAAACAAAAUAUUAUCAAUUUAAAAAAAUGUAAAACCAGAUCAAACCAAAUCCAAAUAAAAAAAAUCGAUUGGUUCAAUUUGAAUCAGUUGAAAGAAAUUAUUGUGGAAGCUUGCACAAAGGUUUGAAUAUCAGUGUUCAACAUUGUUAUGGUGAGGCCAAUCAAGUCGCGGAUGCUUUGGCCAAAUGAAGCAUCAAGAACCAAGAUCACAAUUUCUUCUCGAGGGGCUCGUGCAGAAUGAACCAAUUACAAUUGCCAUCGCUAAGAUUCAAAUGCAUAAAGCAUUCGAGUAUUCACUAUUUUCACUCCAAAUUACUCACAAGAUUGUAAUCCAGUUGAUGCAACCAAGGCACUACUCUAAGAAGGGAAGCCCCACAGAGCAGAGUAGUGGAGAGACUAGAACUCUGUUCGAGUAGAGUCGAGGGUGGGAUUGAAAGACUCAUCAACUUGUCGUCUCAGUUUUUUGUGCCACAAAAGGUAUCUUAUGUCUGUGUACCUGAGUCUACAUCAACUAAAAGAUGCAGUGCCCUUGACCAAGGGAUGUAAGUACAUAUGGAAUAGUACCAUAUGUAAAAUGACAGAAUGAAACAUGAACGUACAUAUAUUUUUUUUAAAAAAAAACAGGAUGACCAACAGAAUCAGACACACAACAUGGAAGGAUCGUGAUAAUCAAGUGUCACCAACAUGUUCUGACAUUUAGUUUCUUAGUCAUGCGUUAGUUCGUUAUGGAAAUUCAUUAGUGUAACUGAACAUGAGGUAGCAGAGUGAGUCCCUUUUGCUAUAUAUGGUUCAGUUAACAAAAACAAGGGCUUACUGCUAUAAAAAAUCACUAAGAAAUGUCACUGCUAGAAACAAAGGUUUUCUCACCGCGAUCAAUAAAAAAAUUGUGUUAUAAAACAUGAUUUUCUCAUUCAUUUUCCACCAAACCAGCUCACUGGAAAACACAUGGUAGGAAACAAAUUCUGCUGAAAUAGUGGAAGCUUUCUAAUUUUGGAUGGAGAAGCUAUUAUUGUUAAUAAACAAAACUUCAAAGUACAUGAACUGAUCAUUGAACAACACAUGAAUAUAUUACAUACAAGCUUGAAACAAGCUGACACAAAUAUCAUUAAAUACAUAAUUCACAAACAAAAAAAGAAGAACAGAGAGGAUAAAAUAUCAUUCAUGAGAAGGAUAAUAAGGAGUGGCAAUCAAGUAGAGCUCGCUCUUUCUUGCUGCAGUUAUUCCGGAAAAUUCAGUCAUGUCCACAUCCUUAGGCUUCAAACCAUCAGGUAAUUUCCAAUCAAAAUGAUACAACAAUUUAGCUAGUGGAAGAUAAAUAUUGAUCAAACCAAAUGUAAUCCCAGGACACAUUCUCCUUCCGGCACCAAAAGGAAGAUACUCAAAGUUAUUCCCCAUGAAAUCCACAGAGGUCUGCUCGAAUCUCUCAGGGAUAAAGCUUUCUGCAUCUUCCCAAUACUUCGGGUCCCUCCCCAUUGCAUAAACGUUAACCAUCACUCUUGUUUUUAAUGGGAUAGUGUAACCGUUGAUGUUUGUUUCUUCCCUGCAUUCUCUGGGGACUAAGAGAGGAACUGGAGGAUGAAGUCUUAAGGUUUCUUUAACAACUUGUUUUAGAUAUUUCAAUUCCUCAAUAACAUCUUCAUCGAACGUUUCUUUUCCUUUGAAGGCUUGUCUUACCUCAGCUUGUGCCUUCGCUAAUACACUUGGUUUCCUCAUCAUUUCUGACAUAGCCCAUAUCGUUGUUGUUCCUGAAGUUUCUGCUCCCGCAGAGAACAAGUCCUACAUUUUAUUAUUAAUAAAAGAAGAAUUUACAUGAAUAGCUGGUGAAUGUAUAAUAUGUGUGUAUAAAUUUGAAGGAUUUUCCCUAUAAAAGUAAGAAUACUUACUAUUAUAAUUGCUUUGAUGUUGUCAUUGGUGAUAGGAAUUUUAAGUUCUCCACUCUCCUUUAAUCUUAGUAGAACAUCAACUAAAUCUUCACCUCCAAAUGCACCAUUUCCCUUUUUACCACUUGCAAUAUUCUUUUUAUGCUCAUUGAUAACAUCCUCAACAAUAACAUCAGCAUUUUUAUGAACUUUCAAGAUUUUACUCUUCAAUCCACUUAACACUUGAAGGAUCUUGAUUGAAGGGAAAAUGUCAGCCAAACUAAAUCCACCUGCCACUUCCAUCAAUUCUCUCACUAUUCCAAGGAAUUUCUCUUGAUCUUUCAACAAUUCCCCAAAUGCUGUUUUGCAGGUAAUUGAGCUCUGGUACCAUAAAAUCCGCUCCGUAACAUUUAUUGGCUCGUCACGUGUUGAUGACCGGAUGAAUUGUACAAGGCGUGAAGCCUCGUCCCAUCUGAUGGAACUAAAGGAUCGUACGUUCUUGGUAGUGAGAAGUUCCAAGACACAUACUUUGCGCAUCUGUCUCCAGUAAUCUCCAUAAGGACUAAACGCGAUGUCCGUGCUCUUGUAACAUAUUAUGUCGAGGGCUAAUAAUUUAGGCCUUGAUGCAAAAGCGAGGUCAUGAGUUUUCAGUACCUCUCGCGCCAUAUCCAUAGAAGAAACUAUGAUGGUAGAAAUUUCGCCUAGUUGAAGGUGCAUGAAAGGUCCAUGUUUUUGCCCAAGUUUGUGAGUGCAUGAUGAGGAAGUCCACCUUCUAAUGCCAAGUGAUGGACACUUCCUAUAAAGGGCAAUUUCCAUGGGCCUGGAGGAAGCUUUUUGUUUAAGUUUCUUGAUUUUUUCCAAUCCACAAGUAGUAUAUAGAGGAAUGAUAGGAAAAGGAAUAAGAAAAUGAAAUUGAAUGGAAAUUGAAACUCCAUUAGAUAGAUAGCUAAAGCUAAGAGAGGGGUGUAUAGGCUUUAAUUCUUCUGGCCUAAUAUAUAAUCCUAAUGUCAGAGAGAAAAUGAAUUGAGAGUAAGGAUGUGUUUGUCCCCGAAAUUAAGUGUCUUUUUUGCUUAUUUUCGGUAUUUGGUAAUACACAGAAAAAAAGUGUUUUGAAACUUUUUUGAUCAACCAAACAUGAUUGUUUUUGGAAAAGACUCCACACAAAACACACACUAAAUAUAAUACUAAUCUUAUACCUGCAAGUCAUUAUCUCGUAUAAUGUAGUACUAAGUAUAAAGUAUAUAAACUAAAUGAAAGUUGAAUUCGAGAUAGAGAGAGACCAUGUAUAAACUUAUAAUAUUUGCUUAUCAAUGUUUGGUGAAAGCAAUAAACGUGUUUUUAAUUGUAUUGUAUUCAAUUAUCUCCUAAUUGAUAUCAAUACAAUAACAAAAACAUCUUUAAUUAAUUUAAUGUCAAACACAUGAUGUAUUAACAACUAUUAAAUUAGAGCCGGCAAUGAUGUGGAAAAUCUUAUGCGAAUCAAUAUUGAUUAAUGAGUAUCGACCUAUCGUCACAAUUCGUUUCGUAAUUAAAUGAGUUGAUCUAGAGCGGAAGGUUAAUAUUUGGGUUUAUUUAUGCUCUCGCUAUGAUACAUUUGAUUUAUUAGUGCCAUCAACAAAGAACUAGAUUUUGUCACAUGACAUUAUUUAAAUUCUUCAUUAUUUAUCAGCUCCCACCUCUCUCAUCUCCUUUUGUGAGUUAUAUAUAUAUAUAUAUAUAUAUGAUCCAUUUUAUUAAGUUCAGUAUAUAUUUAAGUCUUUUCUCAUUACUUCUCCAAAGGGCUAAGGGGAACACACAAAAAGGCUCAGUUAUUUCAAUUAUUGUAUGGAGAGCAUUAUUUUGGAUGGUGAAACUAUUGCUCCUUUGUCCGUAUUUACUUGUCCAAUUUUGAAUUGAAAUAUCUAUUAAAAAAAUAAUACUAACAUAAUGAGUUUAUCAUUUUACUCAUAUUCAUUAAUUGAUAGAAGUUCAAAAUCAAUUUACUCAUUAAAGAGGUUAUACCUUUUUCAAAAACAUUAACUCUCUAAAUAAAUUGAGGGUAUAAUAGGUAUAAAAAUAAUAAUAUUUUUUUAAUUUGUCAAAAAUGACAAGUAAAAAUAUCAAAAUUGAACAAGUAAAACCGGCAGAUGGAGUAUUAUUAAUACACAAAAUUCAAAGUACAUACAAUAGAUGAAUAUACUAAACAAGUAUAGGCAAACUGUCAAGCUGACAUAUACAUACAAGCUUGAAACAAGAUGAUAUAUAAUAAAGUUGGAUUACCAUUUUAUUUGUUUACCAAAUUAAAUAUUUAUUUAAUUAAUUAUUACUAAAUAGUAAUAUCUUAAUAUUUUUUGAAUCAAUUUAAAUUGUGAGGUACAAUGAAUCGUCUAAUUUACUAGUUCAAUCCAGGGAAAUGAAAGGGUUUUUGAUAUUAAGUGAUAAUACAAACAAAAGUUGAAAGCAUCCCAAGUCUCAUUUCGAGAUAACAUUUAAUAUUUGUGUUAAAUUUGCUUUUAUCAUUGAAAUUUAAAACUUUCACGGUUAGCUUAUUUUUUCAAUAAUAAAGACCAUUGAGUUCUUGUAAUUAUUGGGAGAUCAAUAUUCCAUAAAUAGUACUCUUACAAUUAAUUCUUUGUGAAACUAUUUUUUUUUAUGACAAUCCCAAGAAGUUUUUCUAAGGGAUGAAUUAGUAAAAUUAUCUUUUUAUUUAUGAUUUCUUAAUAUAUGUAUAAAAAGUAAAAUGAUUCACUAAUAUGAAAUGGAGGAAUAACUAAUGACUUUUCACCUUAUAACUAUUGGUUUUCUUUGUUUACAUAUUUCUCCAUCCGCAGAAAUGAUCCAAGUGAACCGUUAAGAAAUUCAUUAAUCACUGUUAAAUUGAUAAUGAAUUAUAUUAUCUCAUUCAUUAUAUUCUUCUCAAUAAUCAGCUUUUAUAAAUCAAACAAUAUGUAUAACUCCACCAUUGAAAGAUAUAGUAGAGGAAAACUCCAAAUUUAUGAGGUAAAUGUUUAUGUUUAUUUUACUCUGUUACUUCAUAUAAGUAUUCAUGUUUGCUUCUAUUAUAUUUUUUAGCUCUAAAUUAGAGUUAAUCAUACAUUAUUUUUAGUAAUAUAAAUAUAUUAUAUGUUUACAUCUAUUAUCACAUCAAAAUGCAAACUUGCAGUUUCAUAUGAUAUAUAUAAUGUAUUUAUCGUCCAACAAAGAAAUAAUUCAAUAGAAUGAAGUCUCAAGGAUUCUUUAACAACUUGUUUUAGGUAUUUCAAGUCCUCAAUAAUAUCUUCAUUGAAAGUUUCUUUUCCUUUGAAUGCUUCUCUUACCUCAACUUGUGCCUUUGCUAGCACACUUGGUUUUCUCAUCAUUUCUGUCAUGGUCCAUAUUGUUGUUGUUAUUGAAGUUUCUGUUCCCGCAGCGAACAAGUCCUAUAUUUCAUUAUUAAUUAAAGAACUAAUAAAUUCACUUAUUUUCCUAAAUAAUACUGAACACACCCUUAGAGAUUUUUUUUAAGGGAAAAGGCUUAAAUAUGUCAUUGAACUUUGAGAAAAAACUCAUCUAUGACAUCCGUUAGAAGUUUGACUCAUCUAUGUCAUUUCUGUUAGAGAAAAAUCUCAUCCAUGACUUUAUUUAUUAACUGAAAACAGUUUUGGUUUUGCAAAACCAUUUUUUUUACAUGUGGUCAAUCAUGAUUCGGUCACUUCAUUAAUUAAAUCAUUUUAAAAAGGGAUUAGGUUCAAAUAUGCCAUCAAUCUUACAGAAAGGCUCAUCUAUGUGUUUGAGUCAUAUAUGCUAUUUCAGUUAACAAAUUAAAUAAUGACUUGGAUGAGUCUUUUUUCAAAAGGAAAUGACAAAGAUGAGUCAAACUUUUAAUGAAUUGCAUAGAUGAGUCUUUUUUCUCAAAAUUCGAUGGUAUAUUUGAGUCUCUAAUUAUAAGAGAAAGAAUACUUACAAUCAUAAUUGCUUUAAUGUUGUCAUUGGUGAUUGGGGUUUUAAGUUCUCCACUCUCCCUUAAUCUUAGUAGAACAUCAACUAAUUAAUCUUCACCUCCAAAUGCACCAUUUCCUUUUUUACCACUUGCAAUAUUCAUUUUGUGCUCAUUGAUUACAUCCUCAACUAUAACAUCAACAUUCUUGUGAACUUUCAAGAUUCUACUCUUCAAUCCACUUAGCACAUGAAUGAUCUUGAUUGAAGGGAAAAUGUCAGCCAUACUAAAUCCACCAGCCAAUUUCACCAAUUCCUUCACUAAUCCAAUGAAUUUCUCUUGAUCUUUCAACAAUUCCCCAAAUGCUGCUUUGCAUGUAAUUGAGCUCUGGUACCAUGAAAUAUGUUCGGUAAUAUUUAUUGGCACGCCACGUGUUGAUGACCGGAUGAAUUGCAUGAGGCUCGAAGCCUCGUCUCGCCUGAUGGAACUAAAGGACCGUACGUUCUUGGCAGUGAAAAGUUCCAAGACACAUAUUUUACGUAUCUGUCUCCAGUAAUCUCCAUAAGGACUAAACGCGAUAUCUGUGCUCUUGUAAAAUAUUAUGUCGAUGGAUACUAAUUUAGGCCUUGAUGCAAAAGCAAGGUCAUGAGUUUUCAGUACCUCUCGCGCCAUAACCACAGAAUAAACUACGACCAUAGAAAUUUCGCCUAGUUGAAGGUGCAUGAAAGGCCCAUAUUUUUUGCCCAAUUUUGUGAGUGCAUGAUGAGGAAGUCCACCUUCUAAUGCCAAGUGAUGGAUACUUCCUAAAAAAAGGCAAUUUCCAUGGUCCUGGAAGAAGUUUCUUGUUAAAGUUUCUUGAUUUUUUCCAUUCCACAAAUUGUAAAUAGAGGAAUGAUAGGAAAAGGAAUAAGAAAAUGAAGUUGAAUGGAAAUUGGAACUCCAUUAGAGCAAAGGCUAAGAGAGGGGUGUCUCAAUUCUCAAGUUCAAAGCUUUAUUUGUAUAGGCUUUCUUUUGACCUACUAUAUAAGAGCUUCUUGUAUAACUGUACAGGUGAACAAAAAAAAAUCAACAAAAUCGGCGCAUGUAUAUCUAAUGUAUCCAUAUUGUAAAUAAUCUAUAUGAUGUAUAACAAUAUAUCAUAGAUGUAUAUACAUCCAUAUAUGUUGUUUAUACAAUAUUCAUAUAUAACUGAUAGAACUAGUUCAUUUUCCUUAACGAGCUGAUUUUUAGUCGGUUAAUUUUUCCCUAUAUAUAAAAUCAUCUAGCAAUAUGCAGUUUGUAGACGUCCCUAGCUCAUUAAAUUUUUGGAAUUUUGUAUUUUGAAAAAGGUGAGUUUUUGGCCAACUUUGAGCAAUCAUAACUUCUAGCUCAAGAUGAGUUAGGUGUAGUUCCAGUUAUGGUUGCGUAAGCUUUGUGGAAUGAUCUUUCCAACGCCACCUAGUUUUCUCGAUUCCGAGUUCGUAUGAGUGAGUUAUGCCCUUUGUAAGUUGGGCAGUUGGCAGGGAAAUCCGUCCGGAAAUUGUAAGGGUAUUUUGGUCUUUUCCCCUAGCCAAUUGUUUUGGUUAUAUUGUUGUGUUAGACUGAUUUUNNNNNNNNNNNNNNNNNNNNNNNNNNNNNNNNNNNNNNNNNNNNNNNNNNNNNNNNNNNNNNNNNNNNNNNNNNNNNNNNNNNNNNNNNNNNNNNNNNNNNNNNNNNNNNNNNNNNNNNNNNNNNNNNNAGGAGAAGAAGAAGCAAGGUUCGUAGAGAUCGUCGUGGAUUUCGUCGGGGGUGAUCCCUAUUAAGGUAUGUGAGUUCAUAGUGUUGGGUUGGUUCUUUCCCCCACUCGCCAAGCUCGUUUUAUUUAUGAGAAAAGAUUGGUUGUGUUGUUGAAGUUGUUGAAGUCCCUUGUUGUCUUGGGCAUGUUUCCGGUUGUGUUUUGAAGUAGGAAUCUCUUGUAUGUUGAGGUAUUUUAUGAUUCUUAGUGGUUGGGGUUGAAACCAUUGAAGUUUAGAAGGUUUAGAAUUGGAGAAAAAAGGGAGAAAGGUCGAGUUUUCUGGGGAAGAGGGUGGCGCGUCACGCUUGCCAGCGCGCCCAAAAAGGGGUUCUGAAGGUUCCCCCUUGGGGCGGCGCGCCUAGCAGAACGCCAGCAGGCCCCCUCUGAAAUUCGAGGGCUGGCGCUCCGCGCCUUGCAGAGCGCCAAGGACGCCAAAACUUCUCUUUUAUUCCCCACCUUCUCAUGCAUGUUCCUUGGUAUUGUACCUAUGUUUCCUAGUUGUUUCCAACACUCCAAGGUACUUCUAAAAGUCAAGAACUCAUCCGUAACAUGAGAUCAAGCACCUUGAAUCUAUAAAUCCAAUUCAAGGAGAGUUAGUUUCCAAGUCAAGUGAAGUUAAGAGUUAAUCUUGGAAGUUAAGAAGCAAGUCAAACAAGUUUUUAAAGUUGUUUAAGAAUCUUUAUUGAACGUUUUAACUUCAUUUUAAGACUCAAGUUUCAAGUCAAGAAAAGGGUAUAGAGUUUCAAGUCAAGUAAAGGGUAUAGAGUUUCAAGCUAAGUAAAGAGUCUCAAGUUUCAAGUAAAGUCAAGAGUUUAAAGUGAGUUCUUUUCUCAAAAGUUAUUAGGGAACUAUGUAUUCCCAAAGAAGUUUUAAAGAAAUGUUUUUACNNNNNNNNNNNNNNNNNNNNNNNNNNNNNNNNNNNNNNNNNNNNNNNNNNNNNNNNNNNNNNNNNNNNNNNNNNNNNNNNNNNNNNNNNNNNNNNNNNNNNNNNNNNNNNNNNNNNNNNNNNNNNNNNNNNNNNNNNNNNNNNNNNNNNNNNNNNNNNNNNNNNNNNNNNNNNNNNNNNNNNNNNNNNNNNNNNNNNNNNNNNNNNNNNNNNNNNNNNNNNNNNNNNNNNNNNNNNNNNNNNNNNNNNNNNNNNNNNNNNNNNNNNNNNNNNNNNNNNNNNNNNNNNNNNNNNNNNNNNNNNNNNNNNNNNNNNNNNNNNUUCUGCUUAGUAUGGAUGGGGUAUGGGACUUCAUUCAUACAUUGCACGAGUAGACCUUGAGAGGAAGCAUGGUAUUUUAUGAUAUUAUAAAUAUGAUUUUGAAUGUCAUGUUUUAAUAGUUUUACAAGCUUUAUAUAUUGCAUGUGUCUUAUUGCUAUAUAUAUUGAGUUAAAUUAUUCAUGAGUUGAACAGAACCAAGGUAAGUGUUCUCCUAUACUCCUUUCAAGCUUAAGUUGUGGUUUAGCUUUCCAGCUCGCAUACUCGUACAUUCCAUGUACUGAUGCCAGUUGGCCUGCAUCUUAUGACGAUGCAGACACAGGUACCCAGGAUCAACAUCCAAUACGCCGUUGAUCCAGUUGAGCACUCCAGGGUCAGGGGUGAGCCUCCUUGUUUCCGGAGGACUAUGUUAUUUUGUGUUCUUAGUUUUGUUUUGUUAGGAUGUUGCGGGGUCUGUCCCAACAUCCAUCUAAGUAUUUAGAGGCUUCAUAGACAGUCAGUCAGUAAGAAUUGAGUCUCUCAGCUAUGUAUAUAUGUAAAUAUUCUAUUUUGAGACUCGAGUUGCCCUUUUGGGCCAGANNNNNNNNNNNNNNNNNNNNNNNNNNNNNNNNNNNNNNNNNNNNNNNNNNNNNNNNNNNNNNNNNNNNNNNNNNNNNNNNNNNNNNNNNNNNNNNNNNNNNNNNNNNNNNNNNNNNNNNNNNNNNNNNNNNNNNNNNNNNNNNNNNNNNNNNNNNNNNNNNNNNNNNNNNNNNNNNNNNNNNNNNNNNNNNNNNNNNNNNNNNNNNNNNNNNNNNNNNNNNNNNNNNNNNNNNNNNNNNNNNNNNNNNNNNNNNNNNNNNNNNNNNNNNNNNNNNNNNNNNNNNNNNNNNNNNNNNNNNNNNNNNNNNNNNNNNNNNNNNNNNNNNNNNNNNNNNNNNNNNNNNNNNNNNNNNNNNNNNNNNNNNNNNNNNNNNNNNNNNNNNNNNNNNNNNNNNNNNNNNNNNNNNNNNNNNNNNNNNNNNNNNNNNNNNNNNNNNNNNNNNNNNNNNNNNNNNNNNNNNNNNNNNNNNNNNNNNNNNNNNNNNNNNNNNNNNNNNNNNNNNUUAAGAAUUGCUAAAGUUGCAAGUUAUUCUCCCAAGUCAAGAACUAGAAUAAAAGUAAUAAUCUCCAACCCCCAAAACGAGGUUACAUGCCCUAUUUAUAGAAAACAAGUCCUAAAUUAAAAAGGGAAACAAAAUAAGGAAAGUUUGUUCUGGCUCACGUCUUCAUUCCACGAGACUGACUCACGGACCAUCACUGGAUCUACGGUCCGUGAGUCCCUUUCGUCAGCCAGGACUUAGAAAAUAUUUCAGCUUCCAAAAAUUAGCUUCUCUGAAGCAAACGACAGAGCUGCAGUACGGACCGUAGAUCGAUCUACAGUCCGUCAAUCCCUCUCCAUAGCUCCAUACUUAGAAUCUUCAAAAAUCAAGUACUGGAACCCUCAUAGUAUCAAUCUACGGAUCAUAAGUACGGUCCGUAGAUUAAUCUACGGACCGUCAAUGGCCACCGUGGUUCCACACUUGGUCAGAUUUCCUUGAUUUUGCCUUCCAUGCCUUGCCUGCUGAUCUACGACCACCAUCUACGGAGCGUCAAUGGACCUACGAUCCGUAGAUCACCUCUGUAGAUGCCCUUUUUCUGCAUUUCUUUCAACUGUCUCUUUACUUCCGCGCCUUAACAUCUUUCUGCAAAAUAAUGAUAAAAACACAUAAAAACCACUACAACAAGGCCCUAGACACACACAACUUGUAAAUGAAAUGUAUUAGAAAUACCGUAAACUCACGGUAUAUCAUAUAGCAGGAGCAACAAUUGAUUUUUAUACCAAACAAUUCACAAUGCUAGAGGCCAGUGGAGAUUAUGAAAUGCUGAAUGAACUACCACAAGUAAUGAGUGGAAAUAGAAUGAGGAAAUGCAGAGAGUGCCAACGAUAGAAGAGGUCAAAAAAUGGUUAUGGGGCUAAAUCAAAAUAGUGCAGGAGGACCAGAUGAGAUGACAGGGGCCUUCUAUCAAAGUACUUGGGAAAUCAUUGGGAAAGACAUUCUUAAAAUGACUAUAGCUUUUUUUUGUGGAGCUGAACUACCUAGGUACAUCACACACACAAAUCUAGUCCUAAUUCCAAAGAAGAUGAUGGUCAGUACAUUUUCAGAUUUGAGGUUUAUUUCUCUGAGUAAUUUUGUGAACAAAAUUUUUCACGAAUUAUCCAUGAGAGAAUUAAAGAAGUACUCCCUCAAAUCAUCUCUCCGGAACAAGAAAGAUUUGUACAAGGGAGAAGUAUAGUAGAGAAUGUAUUACUGGUCCAAGAAAUAAUUUCAAAAAUAAGAAAAAAGGGAACACCACCUAAUUUAGUCAUUAAGUUGGAUAUGAUGAAAGCUUAUGACAGAGUUGAGUGGCUUUUUCUAACAAAGGUGAUGAGAAGAUUGGGAUUUGGGGAUAUAAUAAUUGAUAUGGUGUUUAGACUGAUUAGCAACAACUAGUACUCAGUUUUGCUAAAUGGACAACAGAAAGGUUUUUUCAAAUCCUCAAGAGGUCUCAAACAGGGUGACCCUCUAUCACCCACUCUCUUUAUAUUGGCAACAAAAGUGAUGUCUAGAUCCCUAAAUGCCCUAAUGAUAAAGAAAGAGUUUAAAAGAUUUGGUAUGCCAAGAGGAAGCUUGAAGCUAAAUCAUUUAGCGUUUGCGUAUGAUAUGAUCAUAUUAUGUAAAGCGGAGGUAGGCACAAUGAAAAUGGUUAGCGAAACAUUGCAGAAGUAUGAAGAGGUAUCUGGACAAAAAGUGAAUUAAGACAAAAGUGCAAUUUACUUGCACCAUAGUGUCAACAGAGGAGAAUCAGUGGUAGCAGAAGUAGCAACAGGAAUCCUAAGGAAAGAAUUUCCUUUUACGUAUUUGGGGUGCCCUAUCUUUUACAAGAGAACGCAAAAAACGUACUAUAAACAGUUAAUUCAAAGGAUAUGAGCUAAAAUACAAGGAUGGAAAGGUAAGUUAUUAUCUUAUGGGGGACGGGCAGUUCUAAUUAAACAUGUACUACAGAGUACUCCUAUACAUUGUUUAUCAGUCAUGAAUCCUCCCAGCAAUGUCUUAACUGAUGUGCAAAAAACGAUGGCCCAAUUCUUUUGGAGUAGUUGCGUAGGAGGAAGAGGCAGACCUUGGAGUAAAUGGGGAAACCUAUGUCUACCAGAGCUGGAAGAAGGGAUAGGUUUUAGACUAAUGCAUGAUAUUUCAAUGGCUUUGUUUUGUAAGCUUUGGUGGAAUUAUAGAACAAAUAAGUCUUUAUGGAGUGAAUACAUGAGAAACAAAUAUUGCAAGUCAACGAAUCAGAAUCUGGUCAUGUGGGAAGUAGGAGGAGGAGCUUCACAAGUAUGGAAGAAAAUGCUACAAGCAAGAGAUCUAAUCGAGCAUCAAGUACUCUGGAAAACUAAGAAUGGAUCAGCUUCACUAUGGCACGAUAAUUGGACAGGACUGGGGGACCUGUAUACAAUUACGAGGGAAAACUUUGCAUGGGAUGAAAGGUAUGAAGUAGUUAGGGAUCUAACAAAAAAUGGGGAAUGAGAUAUGGAUUUAUUGAAUGAAACACUGCUAGCAGAAUAUGUUGAACACAUCAUAAGCCAAAUCAAGCCCCGUAAAGGUAACACAUAUGACAAACCUUGCUGCAUGUUAGAUACGAGGGGUAGUUUCUCAGUCAAAACAACAUGGAACUAUAUAAGGCACAAAGAGGAACCAAAUAUAAUACAUAGGUGGAUUUGGAAUAAGGGGACUCCUUUUAAAGUAGCCGUUAUGAUAUAGAGGUUGUGGAAGUUCAAAAUCCCUGUGGAUGAUAGAGUGAGAAGGUGGGGCCUUGAAGGACCUUCAAGAUGCUGGUGUUGUGACAAACCUGAUCAAGAAACACUGUCACAUGUGUUUCGAAAAUCAGAAAUUGCUAACAGGACUUGGUCCUACUUUUGUUCUUUUGUAGGUCUAAACAUUACAGGAUUGCAAUUAAGGGAAGUUAUAAUAUUAUGGUGGGGUGCGAACAUUAAGACAUAUAUGAGACCUUAUUAUAGAGCUAUUCCAGGAUUUAUAAUUUGGGAACUGUGGAAAAGAAGGAACAAACAGAAGCAUGAAGGAAAUAGCACUUCACUGCCCAAAAUAAUUCACAAUGUGACCAGACACAUGAAUAUGUUUGCUAAAGUGAAAAGGCCUACCAUGAGAGGAGGAAGCUGGCCAGAAAUACUUAAGGAAAUAGAGGAAUAUAGGCCUAAAAUUAAGGUCGUUCAGGUUAAAUGGGAAAUCCCACCGGCUGGAUGGAUUAAAUAUAACAUGGAUGGUGAAGCUAAAGGAUGUUAUGGAUUUAGUUCAUAUGCCUACUGUCUAAGAGAUGAGAAUGGAGACAUUAUAUUUGCAGAAGGUGCCAGGAUUGAAAAUACAACAAGUACUAUGGCAAAAGCAGUAGCGAUUUUAGAAGCCAGCAAACAUUGCAAGAACUCUCAAUAUAAUCAGGUCAUUAUUCAAACUGAUUCUAUGUUACUGUGCGGAGUGCUAAAAGGAAAAUGGGUCACCUUAUGGGCACUUUCAGAUAUUGUGGAAGAAAUCAAAACAUGCUUACAAGAUAAACAAUAUACAUAUCAACACAUUUUGAGGGAGGGAAAUCAACUUGCUGACUACCUAGCAAACAAAGCAAUAGAACAGGGGACCUGCAGAUAUGAUGAUUUCAAAAGCCUUGAACCACAUGAAAGGAGAAUCUUAAACAGUGAUAAAAGUGAAAGCCCAUAUUUAAGGAUAUCUUCCUUAAGGAGAUAAUGGGAAAGGGGAGGCUACAACAUAAAGUUUAUUCACAAUAACAGAAUUUACAAAAGCCAUAGGGGCGACAAAAAAUGUGAAAUGCUAAAUAGACAUGGCUAUCUCAGCCAACAACAACAAAGACUCAGCAAUUUGGGGGUUACAAGGUUCAGGCGAGUGAACCUGGAGGAGACACUUAUUCCCAGUUGAAAGUGGCGGAAUGCAGCUUCCAAGACACCCAUGCGAGCACCAUUUGGAGAAAUGAAGUGAGCAAAGUUAGUAAAGCACAAGGCAACAAAGGAGUUCAAUGAAGUGAAAAUACAUAGUGAAUAAGUCAUCCCUAUCAAAUGGCUUCAACAGAUCACUAGUAGAACGCAGUUCAUUGUACCAGAGAACUUAGCUAUGAACAAAGAUAUCAGAAGCAAAAACAAAGGGGAAGGGAGUAUAGCUGAAAAGGACACACUUACUAUCGAUAGCUUAAAUCCAACUUUGCAAGAAUCCCACAACAUAAUAUUAAAUGAUCCACAACAACAGGAGACAGAAUCCUUUGAUCAUCCAAAGUGAAAACAUAGCAAAAAUGGAAAGGGUUGGAAGGAAAGAAGAGUGGAGGUGGAUUGUUUUAGGAAACCCGAUAUUUGAGGGAUGUGAUUUAAGGAUGGGAAUCUGAUGGGCUGGAUUCCUGUGCCUUUAUUUUGCUUUGGUUGUUUCAUUAGUGGAUUUGGGUAAUAGACCCAAAUUUGCUUUGUUUCUCAUGUAGUUACUUUCCUAUUUAAUAAAAGGCUUUGCCAUAUUUUGAUUAAAAUAAAAAAAUAGACCGUAGGUCUGACCACGGUCCGUGGUCCAGGGCUGUAGGUCGAACCCCAGAAUUUUAGUCCCAGUCGCCGAACGACGGCCGACCAGCACGACCAUCGGUCGAUCACGGUCUGUGGGUCUGGUCCGUCGAUGACCCCGACAACUUUUAAGUCGGGGGUCGUUUGGUCUUUUCCUUAUGCGUUGGACCCCUAAACUACGUCAUUUAAUCCCUAAACUAUGUGGUUUUGGUCAGUUUAAGCUUAGUAACUUAAUUAGAAUCUACCCUAAGAAAAUCAUUCACCUAAAUUUAGAAAACAUAGAACGCAAGAGGAGAAAGAAGUUGACCAAGCCCUAGUCCAAGAACACAACAGGUUUCCACCAAUUUCAACCCUAAAAUCGAAAGAUUUCUCCGUGGAAUUCAUUACCAUGUAUGUGGGAUUUCACUAGUGGGUUCCUUUCACCCAUUAGGUCCCUAGAAUUUAGUCAAAUUCUUGAUUCCCUUAAUAUUAUCUAGACGUAAGGUUUCUAGAAUUUUAGCAGAUCAUUACAAUUUAGUUACUUUAAUGUUCCUAAUCAGAUUAUCAUGAUUUUAGUAUAAAUUCCUUCAUAUAUUCAGAACCCUAGCUAUGUAGUUCUUUUAGUUCAUGAAUUACAAAUGCUAGGUCAGUUUAUUCGGUUAUACAUGCUCCAGUUAUAAAUAUUUCAUUAUCAGUACAUAAUGUUGCAUUUUCAGUUAGCAUGUCAGUAUUUGAGCUAUCCAGAAUUACUUCAUUUCAGUUAUAAAUUGCUAAACUACAUAAUCAGUUGGGAGUAAACUUAAUACUGAGUGGACUAGGGUCAGUCACCCGCAAAUCCCAAAAGUGCGUGCCCCAUAGGUUGUAAGUCUCCUUUGUGGGCAACAUUUUAGUGAUCACACCAGUCAUGCCUUUAUAUCUCUGGCAGGGUAUAUUGGGUCCUCUCGAUGGGGUGUAUACAUCGAAAUCCACAUUUAGCUCAUGUGGUUUUAUGUCGGUUAUUAAUAGCUUCCACAGUUCAGUCAGAUUCUAUUGCAUUGACCAUGUUAUCAGUACAGUCCAUAUUCAGUCUCAGCAUGUUAUAAACUUGGCCAUUGCAUUCAGUUAGCUUAUGUUCAGUAUUUUCAUUAUCCUUAUCAUGUUUAGAUUAUGUCAUUGCUUUAUUGCUUUGUUCAGUUAUGUUGUUAUUCAGCUUUACGCUAUCCUUCAUGCUCAAUACCUUUCAAGUACUAACACAUACUCUACGCUACAUCUUCUCAUGAUGUAGGUUCAGGUCCUCAUCUUCAAGAUCACGCAUAGAUCGGUUCCCGAUAUCCAGUUCAGGAGCAUCAGUGGUGAGUCCUCAUAUCCCGAGGAAAUCAGGCAUGUUCUUUUGAUUUUAGUCUUUCAUUUUAUUUUCAAUUUUGCUAGAUUUAGCUGGGGUAUGUCCCAGCACUUCUAGUCAGUUAGAGGCUUAUUUCAGACAUAGUUAAAUUCAGCUUUAGUAUUAGAGUUUUACUUUUCAGUUGUUGUUAAACUUUUUUUUUUCUUAUAUUCAGAUUUAGUAUAUGGGUAUUCCCUAUCACUUCAUAUUAUCUCAGUAUUAGUUUCCGCACAGUAUGUAUUCAUUCAAUUUACUUUAGUAUGCUUAUGAUAUGCCAGCAGGGUUAGCUUGGGGUCACUCGUGAUCCUAGGUCCCGUGUUCGUGUCCUGGGGGUAGCUUUGGGGCGUGACAACACACCACAACAAAAUGGUGUGGUGGAAAGGAAGCAUAGACACAUUCUUAACAUUGCUAGAGCUAUUGAUUUCAAUCUCAUUUACCUAUUAGCUUUUGGGGGUAUUGCAUCAAGGCUGCAGUGUAUUUAAUGAAUAGAUUACCUAACUUAAUUAUUGCUAACAAAAGUCCAUAUGAAUUACUUCACUCUAAACAGCCAAAUCUGUCUCAUCUAAGAGUCAUAUGUUGUAUUUUCUAUGCUUCAACACUAUCUAGAGGGGAUAAGUUCUCAGCAAGAGCUGCUCCUGCCAUCCUCUUAGGCUACUCAGACCUACAAAAGGGUUACAUAUUGUUGGACAUCAAUUCUACCAAACUGUAUGUGAAUAGAGAUAUGGUUUUCCAUGAAGAAACUUUUCCAUUUGCCAAAGUGAUGCCUCAGACUAAUCCCUCAGUUGGUUCCCCUUUGGAGACAAUAUAAAAUCUUGAUCCGGUGAAUGAGUCUACUAAUGAAGAUAGUGACGAACCUGAAGCUGUUGUCACAAGAAAUGAAAAUGCUCACGCAGUAGAUGUUGGUAUUGAGAUUACUCAAAAAGAAGAUGUCAAUGAGAAUUCUUCAGUAUGCCAAAUGCCUUAAAUUGAUCCAGUACUAGAUAUUUCUGAAGUUUUCCCUAGGGUACCAUCACAUAUUGACCCUCUAAUCAGAAGAACUUCAAGAAACAUCAAAGAACCAAUUUGGAUGAAAGACUAUGUUACUACUAAGAAACACAGUAGCACCAGACAUCCUAUGGCCAAUUCUCUAAAUUAUGACAAACUGAAGCCUUGUUACAUGGGUUAUUUGAGCAAGCUUUCAGAUUGUGUGGAACCUAAGUACUUCAGCCAAGCUGCCAAGGAUGAGAGGUGGAUACAAGCUAUGCAGCAGGAAAUCAAAGCUCUUGAGGAAAAUAAUAUUCGGAUAGUGGUUGAUUUACCAAAGGACAUGCAUACAAUUGGUUCCAAAUGGAUAUACAAAGUGAAAUAUAGGGCAAGUGGUGAGGUAGAAAGGUUUAAAGCCAGACUAGUAGCAAAGGGAUAUAGCCAACAAGAAGGACUAGAUUAUCAUGACACUUUUUCUCAUGUUGGCAAGAAGGUGACAGUGAGAUGUGUCAUUGCUCUAGUAGUAUCAAAAUGUUAGACAUUAUACCAAAUGGAUGUCUAUAAUGCAUUUCUUCAAGGUGAUUUAGAUGAAGAGGUCUACACGGAGAUGCCUGAGGGUUUCAAAAGACCAGGUGAGAACAAAGUAUACAGGUUACUCAAAUCAUUGUAUGAGCUUAAACAGGCCUCAAGACAAUGGAACUUAAAACUCACAAAAACAUUGCUAGCCACAUGUUUCACUCAAAGUGCUCAUGAUUACUCAUUAUUCACACUCAGAAAGGGGGAAGACCUAGUGAUUGUUUUGGUCUACGUAGAUGACUUAUUGAUUACAUGGAGUAACACAAAGUUGAUCACUGAAGUUAAGGAAAUCCUGCAUAGACAGUUCAAGCUGAAUGAUCUAGGUGAACUUUCAGAAGGAGUUAUUCUGAAUCAAAGGGAGUAUAUCUUAGAGCUUAUUGCUGAUGCAAGCCUAACUGGUGCUAAACCUGCACUCACACCAUUGGAGUCUAAUAUGAGAUUGACAUCAGUGGAACAUGAUCUAACAACUGGCUACACUGGAGAUGCUAUGCUCUAUGAUAUUACUUCAUACCAAAGGUUGGUUGGUUGGUAAGCUAUUAUAUGCCACAAUCACUAGACUAGAUAUAAGCUAUGCAGUGCAAACACUCAACUAGUUUAUGCAAUCUCCUAAGAAGUCACACAUGGAGGCUGCUACUAGAGUGGUUAAGUAUUUGAAGGGUACAGUUGGUCAGGGUAUUUGGCUGCAUUCUGAACCUACCAACAUACUCACAUGUUGGUGUGAUUCUGAAUGGGCUGCUUGUCCCAACAUAAGAAGAUCCAUCACAAGAUAUGUCAUCAAGUUUGGAAACUCUUUGGUAUCCUGGAAAUCCAAGAAACAACAGACUGUUUCAAGAAGCUCAGCUGAAGAUGAGUACAGAAACAUGGCCUCAGCAGUCUCAGAAAUCACUUGGGUUCUAGGCUUGUUCAAAGAGCUAGGAAUAUCUAUCCAGUUGCCUAUUACUGUUUCAGUGACAGUAAAUCAACCAUCCAACUGGCAGCUAACCCAGUAUUUUAUGAAAAGACAAAACAUAUCGAGAUAAAUUGUCACUUCAUCAGAGAUAAGAUCAAAGCAUGGGUGGUUGACACUGCCUAUGUACACACACAACAACAACUUGCAGACUUAUUGACAAAAAGGUUGAGUCAGGCCCAACAUGUAUACCUUUUAGGCAAGCUUGGUAUGCUUAAUGUCAUGCACCCUUCAGCUUGAGGGUGUGUGUUGAAAUAGCUGAAUAUUCAGAAGUUAGUUACUAAUCCAUUAGUUAGUUAGAAGGUCAUUUCGGUCAUUUCAGAAUGUUAGUUAGUGCUAGUUAGUUGCCUCGAUUACUGUGCUGAUAAAUCAGUUAGUAGAUUAGAUAUUUUCUUCUUCUUCUUCUUCUGGCUUUCUAUAUAAUCUGAGGAUGUAUCUCACUUGUAAAAUGAUUUAGAUUCAUAUCAAUAAAAUUCUCUCUAUGUUUCCUCACUCCAGUUUCUUCUCUAAGUUCAUCAAUGGUGUUAUGAGCUUGUAUACUCACAAUUUUUUUUAGUCAGGUACAGUAAAUCCACCAGUCACUUCCACCAAAUUCCUUACUAAUCCAAUGAAUUUCUCUUAAUCUUUAAACAAUUUCCCAAAUGUUGCUUUGCAUGUAUUUGAGCUCUGGUACCAUGAAAUUUGUUUUGUAAUGUUUAUUGGCUUGCCACGUGUUGAUGAUCGGAUGAAUUGCACAAGGCUCGAAGCCUCUUCUCUCCUGAUGGAACUAAACGACCGUAUGUUCUUGGCAGUGAAAAGUUCCAAGACACAUAUUUUGCGCACCUCUCUCAAGUAAUCUCCAUAAGGACGACGCAAUGUCCAUACUCUUGUAAAAUAUCAUGUCGGUGGUUACUAAUUUAUGCCUUGAUGCAAAAGCAAGGUCAUGCGUUUUCAGUACCUCUCGCGCCAUAUCCAUAGAAGAAACUACGAUCGUCGAAAUUUCGCUUAGUUGAAGAUGCAUGAAAGGUCCAUAUUUUUUUCCCAAGUUUGUGAGUGCAUGAUGAGGAAGUUCACCUUCUAUUGCCAAGUGAUGGACACUUCCUAAAAAAGGCAAUUUCCAUGGUCCUGGAGGAAGUUUCUUGUUAAAGUUUCUUGAUUUUUUCCAUUCCACAAAUAGUAAAUAAAGGAAUGAUAGGAAAAGGAUUAAGAAAAUGAAGUUGAACGGAAAUUGGAUCUCCAUUAGAGCAAAGGCUAAGAGAGGGGUGUCUCAAUUCUCAAGUUCAAAGCUUUAUUAGUAUAGGCUUUCUUUUGGCCUACUAUUUAAGACCACCUUGUAUAAUUGUACAGGUGAACAAAAAGAAUCAACAAAAUCGGCGCAUGUAUACAUAAUGUAUCGAUAUUGUAAAUAAUCUACAGUUGUGUAUAUAUGAUGUAUAACAAUAUAUCAUAGAUGUAUAUACAUCCAUAAAUGUUGUUUAUACAAUAUUCAUUUAUAGCUGAUAGCACUAGUUCAUUUUCCUUAACGAGCUGAUUUUUAGUAGGUUAAUUUUUCCUUAUAUAUAAAAUCAUCUAGCAAUAUGCAGUUUGUAGACGUCCCUUGCUCAUUAAAUUUUUAGAAUUUGUAUUUGAUAAUUUACUUUCUUUUCCAUUUCUAGAAAAACCAACAAAAUAGGAAAAGAGACAAUAAGAUGUUAAUUUUUUGUCUAUUAAAAGUGAAUUAGAAAUCAUGCCGUGGAGAUUAACUCAACUAGUUUUCUACGUUAUAUAUAUAUAUAUAUAUAUAUAUAUAUAUGUUGUUUUUAAUAAUUAAAAGAUAUUUUUUUUCAUGUUUUACCCAUAGCAUUAAAUACUAUUCUCCAAAUCAUUUUCAAGUAAUAUUAAACAUCAAUUAAUAGGGAUAAUGUGGUAAAAUAUCUAUAUCAAUAGUUGUUUUUUCUUAAUGGGUACUGUUUGCAACAACUUUUAACGUGACAUAAAAUAAAUUCCAAUCACAAAAAAAUAUGAAGAAACAUAAUUUUAUUCAUCAAGAUUGCAGGUACGAUUCUGUUGAUCAGUUGAUUCCUCUCUCAUAAGAUUUAUGCAUGAUUUGAGGGCCGUUAGUGACAUAUUUCUCGAACUCGAAUGAUUUAGAUUUGACCUCUAUAUGAAUAUUCCAUGACUUUUGUGGAAUAUAUCGAGAUAUUCAAGAUUCAAGGGAAUAUAGUACCCUUUAUAUAGACAUGAACUAGAGUUUAGGGUUGAGUAGCCUCCAAAAAUUCUAAUUGGAAUUGAACACACCUUGUAGAGUCCCAACUCAAAUUGAACAUGUCUUGUAGAGUUCUAUAAAAUUUAAAUGUCUACAGGUACGUCAAGUCUAACAAUGACCAGUAAAAAUGAAUGGAGGGGUAGAUGGUUUAGAUUAUUUGCCAAAACCAACCAUGUAACCAUAGUCAAACAUUAUCUUCCUUCUCUAUCCCCGGACUCCCAACCAGGGGCAGAGCUAUGUGGUCGUGAGGGUAAAAUGAUAUACAAAGUGAUUAAAUAACAUGUUUUAGACACCCUUAACACAAUAGACUGUUGUAGCCUAGUAGUUUCAGACGCUUCAAAUGAGCCAGUAUUCACAUGAAUCAAACUAGCAGUUAUGCAAUUUUUGGAGACCAAAUUAUUGCUCCAAACCCUCUCCUUUUCCUUUCUGAUCUAUGUGCACGAGUUCAAGAGGAGAAUAGAGUUGGAACACAAAAAAAUCAAAAGGAUUAUACUUCAAUUGAGAUUCAUCAAUGGUUAAAAAAAACUCAUAACUUUACAUUUCUCAGGUGACCAAAAUGUUAUCUUUUCCUUUAAUUUCUUUUAAAGUCAAAAACAGAGAAAAUACGAUGAGACAAUAUUUUUUGCUUGAUUUUGCAGAAGUUUACAACUUGUGUUGUUCUUCUUCUCUUUUCUAAUACUGAAUUAUUCAAGCCGAGGAAAGUGGGCUGUAAUGGAGGACUUGGACGGAUGGGCUACUGCAGGGGAGCCAAAUCCUAGGAGAGAACAUGGAUCCUUUGAGCGAGAUAUUGACAAAAAGAAGAAGAGAAUAAUUCGCGGUAAGGUUGAAAAGAUUCAUUUGUGCCAUUAACACAGAACUAGAUUUUGUCACGUGACAUUAUUUAAAUCUGUCAUUAUAUAUUUAUAUACAUACAAAGUUAAAACAAGAUGACACAAAUAUCAUUAAAUACAUAAAAUACCCCGACUCCUAUAUUAAAUAUCAUUCAUGAGAAGGAUAAUAAGGAGUGGCAAUCAAGUAGAGCUCACUCUUUCUUGCUGCAGUUAUUCCGGAAAAUUCAGUCAUGUCCACAUACUUAGGCUUCAAACCAUCAGGUAAUUUCCAAUCAAAAUGAUACAACAAUUUAGCUAGUGGAAGAUAAACAUUGAUCAAACCAAAUGUAAUCCCAGGACACAUUCUCCUUCCGGCACCAAAAGGAAGAUACUCAAAGUUAUUCCCCAUGAAAUCCACAGAGCUCUGUUCGAAUCUCUCAGGGAUAAAGAUUUCUGCAUCUUCCCAAUACUUCGGGUCCCUCCCCAUUGCAUAAACGUUAACCAUCACUCUUGUUUUUAAUGGGAUAGUGUAACCGUUGAUGUUUGUUUCUUCCCUACAUUUUCUGGGGAUUAAGAGAGGGACUGGAGGAUGAAGUCUUAAUGUUUCUUUAACAACUUGUUUUAGAUAUUUCAAUUCCUCAAUAACAUCUUCAUCGAAAGUUUCUUUUCCUUUGAAGGUUUCUCUUACCUCAGCUUGUGCCUUCGCUAAUACACUUGGUUUCCUCAUCAUUUCUGACAUAGCCCAUAUCGUUGUUGUUCCUGAAGUUUCUGAUCCCGCAGAGAACAAGUCCUACAUUUCAUUAUUAAUAAAAGAAGAAUUUACAUGAAUAGCUGGCGAAUGUAUAAUAUGUGUAUAAAUUUGAAGGAUUUUCCCUAUAAAAGUAAGAAUACUUACUACUCCCUCCGUCCCAUUUUAUGUGAGGUAGUUUGACUCGGCACGGAGUUUAAGAAAGAAAUGAAGACUUUUAAAACUUGUGGUCCAAAAUGAAUGAUAGAAAUUUGUGUGGCUGUAAAUCAUUUCAUUAAGGGUAAAAUAGACAUUUUAUAGUGAAAUUGUUACUUAAUAUGGAAAUGAGUCAUUCUUUUUGGGACUGACUAAAAAGGAAAGUAAGUCACAUAAAUUGGGACAAAGGGAGUAUUAUAAUUGCUUUGAUGUUGUCAUUGGUGAUUGGAAUUUUAAGUUCCCCACUCUCCUUUAAUCUUAGUAGAACAUCAACUAAAUUUUCACCUCCAAAUGCACCAUUUCCCUUUUUACCACUUGCAAUAUUCUUUUUAUGCUCAUUGAUAACAUCCUCAACAAUAACAUCAGCAUUUUUAUGAACUUUCAAGAUUUUACUCUUCAAUCCACUUAAUACUUGAAGGAUCUUGAUUGAAGGGAAAAUGUCAGCCAAACUAAAUCCACCUGCCACUUCCAUCAAUUCUCUUAGUAUUCCAAGGAAUUUCUCUUGAUCUUUCAACAAUUCCCCAAAUGCUGUUUUGCAGGUAAUUGAGCUCUGGUACCAUAAAAUCCGCUCUGUAACAUUUAUUGGCUCGUCACGUGUUGAUGACCGGAUGAAUUGCACAAGGUGUGAAGCCUCGUCCCGCCUAAUGGAACUAAAGGAUCGUACGUUCUUGGUAGUGAGAAGUUCCAAGACACAUACUUUGCACAUUUGUCUCCAGUAAUCUCCAUAAGGACUAAAUGCGAUGUCAGUGCUCUUGUAACAUAUUAUGUCGAGGGCUAAUAAUUUAGACCUCGAUGCAAAAGCGAGGUCAUGAGUUUUCAGUACCUCUCGCGCCAUAUCCAUAGAAGAAACUACGAUGGUAGAAAUUUCGCCUAGUUGAAGGUGCAUGAAAGGUCCAUGUUUUUUGCCCAAGUUUGUGAGUGCAUGAUGAGGAAGUCCACCUUCUAAUGGCAAGUGAUGGACACUUCCUAUAAAGGGCAAUUUCCAUGGGCCUGGAGGAAGCUUUUUGUUUAAGUUUCUUGAUUUUUUCCAAUCCACAAGUAGUAAAUAGAGGAAUGAUAGGAAAAGAAAUAAGAAAAUGAAAUUGAAUGGAAAUUGGAACUCCAUUAGCUAGAUAGCUAAAGUUAAGAGAGGGGUGUAUAGGCUUUAAUUCAUCUGGCCUAAUAUAUAAUCCUACUGUCAAAGAGAAAAUGAUUUGAGAGUAAGGGUGUGUUUGGUGUGAAAGGAAAACAUAAAAAAUGUUAUCCGGAAAGUAAGUGUAUUUUUUGCUUAUUUUUGGUGUUUGGUAAGUAAACAUAAAAUGUCUUUUUUUGCUUAUUUUCGGGAUUUGGUAACUACUGUUUUAUUCGAAAAAUAUAAAUAAAAGAAAAAUGACUAGUUUUCGAAAAAUCGAUUAAACUUAUGGUUUAAGAGAAAUCGAAUUUCCAAAAGAACAGAGUCACCACUUAAUUUUUAGUAAAAAUCAAGAAAAAACUCAUAAGAUUUUCAAAAACUUAAACAGAUAAAAUCAAUUGAAAAUAAAGGGUUCGAGUUCAAAUGUACAUUCCGAGAAGGUGUUAGGCCCUCGGAAUGCCUGCUAACUUGCGAUUGACCGGCGAUUUGACUAAAACGACUUUGACUAAUUUUGAAAGAAUAUUAGCUAAGUAAAGAAAUCCACUUUUUAUUUAUUUGUUUACAUUUUUUAUUUAUUAUUAUUAUCAUAUGAUUAUCUUAAAGGAAAUAGGAGGGGGGGGGGGUUUCCUAAAGGGAAAUAAGUUAAGUGUUGACAAGACUAAUAUUAAAAUAAGAACUAAGUAAUAAAAUAUAUACCUUAAUUUGAAAAAAAAAAAGACCAUUCUCGGGAAUUUAAUUAAAUUUAACCAUAAGAUAAUGAAAACGUUAGUCAAAUACAACAAAAUAAAUAAGAGCAAGGGAAGGAGUAUUGAACUUGGGUCUUUGGCCCAAAUUCCCCAAAUCUGUUGAAUCCGUCCUAUUCUAAAAAUUUCCAACAUGAUUUUGGGCCCUUUUGGCCUAUCUUUGUUACGAAAUCUACUCAUUUCAGUCUCCUUUGGACUGCUGUAGCGCUUGAGCUUUUUUAGCCCAUUUUCGCCCCUGUAUCACAGUGUAUAUGUUAAGAAAUCACCACCAACUUAAUUAAUCUCCAAGACAUUUCAAAGAAGAAUCUAGAAUAUUCAAGAGUUAUAAAGAAAUAAAGGAAGAGCUCUAGAAUGAGUAUUCUAGAAGUAUUCUAGAGAGAAAAGUCUAGAGUUGUUCUAGAUAAGAUAGUUCUAGAAAUAGGAAGUUAGAAGAACAUUCUAGAAUGUAGUAGCAAAACCCUUAGCUAGAUUCUUCCAUCACCACCUAUAAAUAGAGGUGGUCCAUUUGAGUUGUAACCAAGAAAGAAAGAAAUCAAGAAACCAAGCAAGGAAAAAAGUAAGAAAUAAGAGAGCAAACAAGAGUGAGUGCUCAAGUAAAGAGUGUUGCUGAAGCAAGCAACAAGUGUGAUCAAGAUUGUAAGACCGAAGCUGGUCCUUACUUUGAUAUAAUAAAAUUUAAGUUGUCAGAAAUCGAUAGUGCCCGUCGUCUCCAAACCAAUAAUAUUCAACAGUAUACACCAGGUAUAUCGGUGUAUACAGGUGUAUCUCGGCCUGCUUUCAGCUUUCCGAGACCUGUACGUCAAUUUUUGUAGCUGGCCGACUUGAAAAGAGGGGAAAUUGAGCCUUUAUGGCUCUCUCGAAAUGCAAGAAAAGAAAGAAAAGGGAGUUCAUGGCGAACUCGGGCCGAUUUACAUGCAACAAAGCAAAAGGAUAAGGAUUAGUGUUCCAAAAUAAAUCGCAAGUCAUGGCAGCCUUUAAAUCACUGUACAACAAAUAAUUUGAGGGAACUCAAAACGACAUAGGGAUGCAAAAAUCCAAAGACAUCAAGAAUAAAAGCAUAUUAAUGCCCCAAUAAUAACUACUUAAGCUACUGCUCAACGCCACAAAAUAUAAUCUAGGAUGAGCAAAUGAUAUUCAACCUACUUAAUAAACAAAUAUGCUAAUGGCUGACACUGGCAAACAAUGCCGAAUAUUCGUAUAAAAGUCAUGUCAUAUGAAACACCAUAUUUGGUCACUUGAAACAGGACCCCUAUUCUAACUGACCAUACUACAAUAGGAAAAAUAUCAUCACUUUGUGAAACACAAGGCUCAAUUUUAGCUCUAGAAACAAAGAUUCACAAAAGUAUAUAAAAAAUAAAUAAAUAAGAAAACUCUUAAGAAGAUUAUUAUAUUUCAUCAUAAAGGGACGGAUAGCAUAAGAGCUCCAGAUUAGUCAAAUAUGAGAUUCUGCCCUUCAUUUUUUUUUAAUUUUGUCAAAAGGAAGUAACAUUACAACAGCAAGAGAAGGAAAACUAUAUGCUAGAAGACGGUGAACACCAAAACAUGAGUAAUCAAUGACAUUCAAGCAAGUAAAUACGAUAUAAAGGAUGGCGAAAUAGCCUCAAAAUAAACACCAAGAAACAGUGAAGCCAUACGUGAGACGAACAUCAGUAUCACGGACAUGCUAGCGAUUUUCAUUGGAACGGAAGAAAGGUCUUUUUUACAUACUAGUUGACUCAAGAUUCUCGUGAAUAACACCACUUAGUAAUAACAACCUAAAUGAUAGCACACCUUAUGCUUAAGGACAGUAUAGGCGAAAUAAUGUGAACUUAAUAGCAUUCUAAUAAUGAAUUCGAGAAAAAGAACACCAAAAUGCGCUCAAACACUGAAUACAAAUUAGUAGCAACUCAAUACAAUGUUAUGACUAACCCAUGGAAUAGAUACCUUAUGUCAAAACAACACCAAUGACAACGACAAUUAAUCAGCGAACAACCAACAGAAUAGUGACUUCCCAGCAUUAACAAACAAAAUAGAGAAAGAGAUGAAGAGAGAAGCCAUCGAAGGAAACGUUACCUUUUCUGGGCGGCGAACAGGGACCAAGCAAGCUGAACAGAGCUUCCCACAACCACAGCCAGAUUCCAAGAACUCAGGCGAAAUUCGAUGAGGCGAGAAAGGAGAAACAUAACUCUUUCUCUUUUUAAGCUAUGAUUCUCCCUAUAUCGGACUUUUGCCACAACUCUUUCUAUUUUUUUCUCUCAACUUUCUAACUCUAUUUUUUAAAACCUCUUAAGACUUUAAAAAAAAACCCCUCUUAAGACUAAAUGCAAAGAGAGCUUUUAUACAAGGAAAUUAGGGUAGAAAAAAAGGUGGAAAAUCCGAAUGGAAUUUUGCCAUUCGAAAUUUGAAAUCAAAAUCCUUUCAUCCUUUUGUACAAACAUCUUUUUCUGAGGCUUUCAACCCAUUCCGGAAGAGGAAAGGGAAGAAAAACGUGUGCCCGCCUUUCUGCUGGGGUCGUACAAAUGCAGAGAGACGCGGCUAAGGCUGUACCAGGCAGAAAAGGAAGAAGGAAACGUGGGCGUGAACUCGCUGUGUAUUUUCCGUCUAUUCACGUGAGCUGCUGGGUUCGGGUCGACUCGCUGGAGCUGGGUUUCGCUUACUGGACUGCUCGUUUUUCUGGGUUUCUGGUUUUGCACGCGAGGAAGAAGGCACUGUUGGGUUCUUUUUGGUAUUUUUGUUGGCAGGGAUUCAAAAAGGGAAAAUUAGCAAUUAAGUUAUAAUAUCUAACAUAAUUAGUCAAAAUAACAACACUUUAAAAUAUUUAUUUGAAAUGGCAGAAUGACAAUAUUUUUACAAAUAAUAUGUAUUCAGAUUUUAGUAUUUUAAAUUAAUUUUAUUUAUGGAAAGAGUCCUAUAUUGGACCAAAUUAUAUACCAAUAUCCGUUUAAAGUGAAAUAAAAAAUUAAACCAAUACCAUUAACCUUUUUUCAUCACCAUUCACGUUUCUUCCCCACCUUUCACGUUUCAAGUUUAUUUUUCUUCAAGGUGCUAAAUUGUUGUUCAUCAAUAAAUUUUCUUUAUUGUUAAACGAAAUCUCUUUAUUAAUUCAAGCAAAUUUCUCGGUUGGCAAGGUAAUUUCCAUUAUCCAUUUCGAUUAGUUAUUUUGAUUUCUUUUUAUUUGUUUUUAAUAUCACCGUUUAUGGUUUAUAUUUCGCAUUGUACAUAUUACGGAUUUUCCGUCAAUUUUUUUUAUUUUUAUUAGCAAGUUUGUUUACAUAAUAUUCAUCUAAUAUUUAUGUAUUUCAAUUUAGUUAUUUAGAUUUCUUUUUAUUUGUUUUCAAUAUCACCGUUUAUGAUUUAUAUUUCGCAUUGUACAUAUUACGGAUUUUCCGUCAAUUUUUUUUAUUUUUAUUAGCAAGUUUGUUUACAUAUUCAUGUAAAAUUUAUGUAUUUUUAGUCUAUUAAACAAUUUUUUUUCAAUUUUUUUCUGAUUUCGUUUUAAUAUUUUAGAUUUAUUAGAAUCUACAAAUUCAUUCAUAUGUUUAUUUUGUUUGAUUUUUAAUACAUUUAUAUUUGCUUUUAGAGUUUUAGAUUUGGGGAAAGCAUCUGUCUGUCUAUAAUGUCUGAAUCAACAGUUUAUUUAUGUAUUCAUUCUAUCUAUAUAUCAACAAGUUUUACAUUUUUUGUUUUAACAAUGUAUUUCAAUCUCAAUUAGUAUACCAACAUGUUUGUAUUUCCUUCUUAAUUUGUAUUCAUCCUAACUGUAUGCUAACAAUUAUGUAUUUUAUUGGGUAUUCAUUCUGUAUUUCAAUCUCAAUUUAUAUGUGAACAAGUUUGUAUUUUCUCUUUUAUGUUGUAUUCAACCUAAUUGUAUACCAACAAGUUUUGUAUUUUAUGUGCCUACUUUACCUUUCAAAGUCACUUUGUAUUUCAAACAAAGAGAGUAUUUAAUUUCUUUUGUAAUCACAACUUUAUAUUCAAUCACUUUGUAUUUAUAGUAUAUAAUUAGUAUAUUUUAUAAAUAUUCAAAAAUCGUCUCAAAAAGAUUUGGUUUAUUUGAAUACUUGGUUAAUUAGUUCAAUUAUUCAAUAGUUUAUAUUUUUGAGUUAAUUAAUUCAUAAUUAAGUUGAUUAUUUUAUUUCGUUAAAAUUAAGAAGCUCAUUAAUUAAUUUACAUUAAUUCGUCUUAUUUGAAUUUCGGCCAAUUUCAACCAAGUGCCUCAAUUUGAUCGAAAUUACAAUUUUACGUGGUUAUUUUCUUAAUUCAAAUCGACCACAUUCUUGGUUAUCCUUUUGGACCCAAUUCUUUCAACCCAAAUUCCUUUACCUCCAAUUCCCAAUUCUUAACAGCAACCCAACUCAAUUUCCCAAGCCCAACUCCAAUAGAAACCCAUCAGAAAGCAACUCAAUUAUUGUAUGCAUUCAAACACGGGUUGAUAAUUUUAAAACCGAUUAAGUUGGUUUGGUUUUGGUUUUGACCAAUAACCGAUCCAAACCAACCUGUGUUUGAAUGCAUACAAUAAUUGAGUUGCUUUCUGAUGGGUUUCUAUUGGAGUUGGGCUUGGGAAAUUGAGUUGGGUUGCUGUUAAGAAUUGGGAAUUGGAGGUAAAGGAAUUUGGGUUGAAAGAAUUGGGUCCAAAAGGAUAACCAAGAAUGUGGUCGAUUUGAAUUAAGAAAAUAACCACGUAAAAUUGUAAUUUCGAUCAAAUUGAGGCACUUGGUUGAAAUUGGCCGAAAUUCAAAUAAGACGAAUUAAUGUAAAUUAAUUAAUGAGCUUCUUAAUUUUAACGAAAUAAAAUAAUCAACUUAAUUAUGAAUUAAUUAACUCAAAAAUAUAAACUAUUGAAUAAUUGAACUAAUUAACCAAGUAUUCAAAUAAACCAAAUCUUUUUGAGACGAUUUUUGAAUAUUUAUAAAAUAUACUAAUUAUAUACAUAAUUAUCUAAAGCAUACAUAUUAUUUAAAAAUUAUAAAAAGUGACAAAACUAUUUAAAAUAACUUGAAAAAUAUUUUGAAUUUUAUAAAGUCAAUUAUUUCGAAUCAUUUGGAAUUUAAAGAAGCUUGAAAAUUAAUAUAUAUUGGGAGGUCCAAAAUUGGGUGUCAACAACUACAAAAAAAAAAAAGUGUUCUGAAACUUUUUUGAUCAACCAAACAUGAUUGUUUUUGGAAAAAACUCCACACAAAACACACACUAAAUAUAAUACUAAUCUUAUACCUGCAAAUCAUUAUCUCGUAUAAUAUAAUACUAAAUGAAAGUUGAAUUCGAGAUAGAUACAAUGUAUAAACUUAUAAUAUUUGCUUAUCAACGUUUGGUGAAAGCAAUAAACCUGUUUUUAAUUGUAUUGUAUUCAAUUAUCACCUAAUUGAUAUCAAUACAAUAGCGAAAACAUCUUUAAUUAAUUUAAUGUCAACCACAUGAUGUAUUAACAACCAUUAAAUUAGAGCCGGCAAUGUGGAAAAUUUUAUGCGAAUCAAUAUUGAUUAUUGAGUAUCGACCUAUCCUAUCGUCACAAUUCGUUUCGUAAUUAAAUGAGUCUUGAUCACCAGCGGAAGGUUAAUCAUUAAUUUUUUAAACUUUCAUGGUUAGCUUAUUUUUUCAACAAUAAAGACCAUUGAGUUCUUGUAAUUAUUGGGAGAUCAAUAUUCCAUAAAUAGUACUUUUGCCAUUAAUUCUUUAUGAAACUAUUUUUUUAAUAAUCUCAAGAAGUUUUUUUAAGGGAUAAAUUACUAAAAUUAUAUUUUUAUUUAUGAUUUCUUAAUAUACGUGUAAAAAGAAAAAUGAUUCACUAAUAUGAAACGGAGGAUUAACUAAUAUGACUUUUCACCGGAUAACUAUUGGUUUUCUUUGUUUACAUGUUUCUCCAUCCGCAGAAAUGAUCCAAGUGAACCGUUAAGAAAUUCAUUAAUCACUGUUAAAUUGAUAAUGAAUUAUAUUAUCUCAUUCAUUAUAUUCUUCUUAAUAAUCAGCUUUUAUAAAUCAAACAAUAUGUAUAACUCCACCAUUGAAAGAAAUAGUAGAGGAACACUCCAAAUUUAAAAGGUAAACGUUUAUGUUUACUUUACUUUACUCUGUUACUUCAUAUAAUUAUUCAUGUUUGCAUCUAUUAUAUUUUUUAGCUCCAAAUUAGAGUUAAUCAUACAUUAUUUUUAGUAAUAUUAUUUAGCAUAUAAAUAUAUUAUAUGUUUACAUCUAUUAUCACAUCAAAAUGCAAACUUGCAGUUUCACAUGAUAUAUAUAAUGUAUUUAUCGUCCAACAAAGAAAUAAUUCAAUAGAAUGUGUGUUCAUCAAUUUUAGCUUGUAAUUUUAAACAAGUUUUGUUAUUGAAUACAUUACACCUUUAAUAUAAUUUAUAUUAUAUAUACUACUUACACAUUGACAUAUUUACAAUGCACGUCUCUAAAAACUGAUAUUAUUAAAUACAUAAAAUACCCUGACUGUUGUAUCAACUAUCAUUCUUGAGAAGGAUAAUAAGGAGUGGCAAUCAAGUAGAGUUCACUCUUUCUUGAUGCAUUUAUUCCAUCACAUUCAGUCAUGUCCAAAUUCUCAGGCUUCAAACCAUCAGGUAAUUUCCAAUCAAAAUGAUACAACAGUUUAGCUAGUGGAAGAUAAACAUUGAUCAAACCAAAUGUAAUUGCAGGACACAUUCUCCUUCCGGCACCAAAAGGAAGAUACUCAAAGUUAUUCCCCAUAAAAUCCACAGAGCUCUGCUCAAAUCUCUCAGGGAUAAAACUUUCCGCAUCUUCCCAGUAUUGGGGGUCCCUCAUAAUCGCCGAAACAUUAACCAACACUCUUGUUUUUAAUGGAAUAGUGUAACCAUUGAUGUUUGUUUCUUCCCUGCAUUCUCUAGGGACUAAGAGAGGGGCCGGAGGAUGAAGUCUCAAAGAUUCUUUAACAACUUGUUUUAGGUAUUUCAAGUCCUCAAUAAUAUCUUCAUUGAAAGUUUCUUUUCCUUUGAAUGCUUCUCUUACCUCAACUUGUGCCUUUGCUAGUACACUUGGGUUUCUCAUCAUUUCUGUCAUGGUCCAUAUUGUUGUUGUUGUUGAAGUUUCUGUUCCCGCAGCGAACAAGUCCUAUAUUUCAUUAUUAAUUAAAGAACCAAUAAAUUCACUUAUUUUCCUAAAUAAUACUGAACACACCCUUAGAUAUUUUUUUUAAGGGAAAAGACUUAAAUAUGUCAUCGAACUUUGAGAAAAAACUCAUCUAUGACAUCCGUUAAAAGUUUGACUCAUCUAUAUCAUUUUUGUUAGAGAAAAAUCUCAUCUAUGCCUUUAUUUAUUAACUGAAAACAGUUUUGGUUUUGCAAACCCAUUUUUUUUUACAUGUGGUCAAUUAUGAUCCGGUCACUUGAUUAAUUAAAUAAUUUUUAAAAAGGGAUUAGGUUCAAAUAUCCCAUCAAUCUUACAGAAAGGCUCAUCUAUGUGUUUGAGUCAUAUAUACUAUUCCAGUUAACAAAUAAUGACUUGGAUGAGUCUUUUUUCAAAAGAAAAUGACAAAGAUGAGUCAAAUUUUUAACGAAUUGCAUAGAUGAGUCUUUUUUCUCAAAAUUCGAUGGUAUAUUUGAGUCUCUAAUUAUAAGAGAAAGAAUACUUACAAUCAUAAUUGCUUUAAUGUUGUCAUUGGUGAUUGGGGUUUUAAGUUCUCCACUCUCCCUUAAUCUUAGUAGAACAUCAACUAAAUCUUCACCACCUUAAUCUUAGUAGAACAUCAACUAAUUAAUCUUCACCUCCAAAUGCACCAUUUCCUUUUUUACCACUUGCAAUAUUCAUUUUGUGCUCAUUGAUUACAUCCUCAACUAUAACAUCAACAUUCUUGUGAACUUUCAAGAUUCUACUCUUCAAUCCACUUAGCACAUGAAUGAUCUUGAUUGAAGGGAAAAUGUCAGCCAUACUAAAUCCACCAGCCAAUUUCACCAAUUCCUUCACUAAUCCAAUGAAUUUCUCUUGAUCUUUCAACAAUUCCCCAAAUGCUGCUUUGCAUGUAAUUGAGCUCUGGUACCAUGAAAUCUGUUCGGUAAUAUUUAUUGGCACGCCACGUGUUGAUGACCGGAUGAAUUGCAUGAGGCUCGAAGCCUCGUCUCGCCUGAUGGAACUAAAGGACCGUACGUUCUUGGCAGUGAAAAGUUCCAAGACACAUAUUUUACGUAUCUGUCUCCAGUAAUCUCCAUAAGGACUAAACGCGAUAUCUGUGCUCUUGUAAAAUAUAAUGUCGAUGGAUACUAAUUUAGGCCUUGAUGCAAAAGCGAGGUCAUGAGUUUUCAGUACCUCUCGCGCCAUA